Ribosomal RNA from Capra hircus (goat), 122 nucleotides. The record is from Ensembl. NCBI's taxonomy places the organism in Eukaryota, Metazoa, Chordata, Mammalia, Artiodactyla, Bovidae.
UGCCAGGGCUAUACCACCCUGAACGCACUUGAUCACAUCUGAUCUCGGAAGCUAAGCAGGGUCGGGCCUGUUAGUACUUGGAUGGGGGACCACCUGGGAAUACUGGGCAUUAGGCUUGGUGA